CUGUGAUGCCCUUAGAUGUUCUGGGCCGCACGCGCGCUACACUGACAGAGCCAGCGAGUUCUUUUCCUUGGCCGGAAGGUCAUGGGUAAUCUUGUGAAACUCU
RNAcentral lists this ribosomal RNA (103 nucleotides) under Myrmaecium rubricosum. RNAcentral's name for it is "partial small subunit ribosomal RNA". It matches the Rfam family "Eukaryotic small subunit ribosomal RNA", at positions 1462 to 1563 of the family's 1831-position model. The record is from RNAcentral. Lineage: Eukaryota; Fungi; Ascomycota; Dothideomycetes; Valsariales; Valsariaceae.